Molecule: ribosomal RNA, 252 nt
Filed under: uncultured bacterium
Lineage: Bacteria
Description: partial 16S ribosomal RNA
Rfam family: Bacterial small subunit ribosomal RNA
Source: RNAcentral
UACGUAGGGUGCAAGCGUUAAUCGGAAUACUGGGCGUAAAGCGUGCGCAGGCGGUGAUGUAAGACAGAUGUGGAAUCCCCGGGCUCAACCUGGGAACUGCAUUUGUGACUGCAUCGCUGGAGUGCGGCAGAGGGGGAUGGAAUUCCGCGUGUAGCAGUGAAAUGCGUAGAUAUGCGGAGGAACACCGAUGGCGAAGGCAAUCCCCUGGGCCUGCACUGACGCUCAUGCACGAAAGCGUGGGGAGCAAACAGG